GACGAACGCUGGCGGCGUGCUUAACACAUGCAAGUCGAACGGUAAGGCCCUUCGGGGUACACGAGUGGCGAACGGGUGAGUAACACGUGGGUGAUCUGCCCUGCACUUCGGGAUAAGCCUGGGAAACUGGGUCUAAUACCGGAUAGGACCACUGCCUGCAUGGGUGGUGGUGGAAAGCUUUUGCGGUGUGGGAUGGGCCCGCGGCCUAUCAGCUUGUUGGUGGGGUGAUGGCCUACCAAGGCGACGACGGGUAGCCGGCCUGAGAGGGUGACCGGCCACACUGGGACUGAGAUACGUCCCAGACGCCUACGGGAGGCAGCAGUGGGGAAUAUUGCACAAUGGGCGCAAGCCUGAUGCAGCGACGCCGCGUGAGGGAUGACGGCCUUCGUGUUGUAAACCUCUUUCAGCACCGACGAAGCGCAAGUGACGGUAGGUGCAGAAGAAGGACCGGCCAACUACGUGCCAGCCGUCGCGGUAA
Molecule: ribosomal RNA, 478 nt
Filed under: uncultured bacterium
Lineage: Bacteria
Description: partial 16S ribosomal RNA
Rfam family: Bacterial small subunit ribosomal RNA
Source: RNAcentral